AACGAACGCUGGCGGCAGGCUUAACACAUGCAAGUCGAGCGCCCCGCAAGGGGAGCGGCAGACGGGUGAGUACCGCGUGGGAACGUACCUUUUGGUUCGGAACAACUCCGGGAAACUGGAGCCAAUACCGGAUAAGCCCUAACGGGGAAAGAUUUAUCGCCGAAAGAUCGGCCCGCGUCUGAUUAGCUAGUUGGUGAGGUAACGGCUCACCAAGGCGACGAUCAGUAGCUGGUCUGAGAGGAUGAUCAGCCACACUGGGACUGAGACACGGCCCAGACUCCUACGGGAGGCAGCAGUGGGGAAUAUUGGACAAUGGGCGCAAGCCUGAUCCAGCCAUGCCGCGUGAGUGAUGAAGGCCUUAGGGUUGUAAAGCUCUUUUGUCCGGGAAGAUAAUGACUGUACCGGAAGAAUAAGCCCCGGCUAACUUCGUG
Molecule: ribosomal RNA, 431 nt
Filed under: uncultured bacterium
Lineage: Bacteria
Description: partial 16S ribosomal RNA
Rfam family: Bacterial small subunit ribosomal RNA
Source: RNAcentral